Equus caballus (horse) is the source of this 386-nucleotide long non-coding RNA. RefSeq lists it as uncharacterized. The record is from RefSeq and is a predicted model, not a curated record. Lineage: Eukaryota; Metazoa; Chordata; Mammalia; Perissodactyla; Equidae.
CUGUCCUGCCUAGGGCGUGUCUCAUGUGGAUGACGCGGCUCCGGGGGCAGCUGUUUAGACGUCCGUUACUCCUGCUCUAGGAGACUUCCUGAGCCACUGGGACCGAGUCAAGGACUGUUGCAUGAGUUUGAGUGCAAGUUCUGUGUAGAGGAGCUCUGGGGGGCUACAGGGGGCAGGGCGGUGGGGGUGGUUCUAGAGAAGGUGAGUGGACGGCGUAAGGAAUGUAAGGGUAUGCCAGGGCGGCAGAAAGCAAGUUUUCAGAUUCCCCAGAUAUCCCCCCAAAUGGCUGUGCUUCCUCAGGGUGUCCUGGGCACGGUAGAUUACACAACAAAGAGUGGAAUUCUGGGGUCCUGUGUUAUGCCUACCCAAGACUUCUGAGGAAAAAA